RNAcentral lists this ribosomal RNA (467 nucleotides) under uncultured bacterium. RNAcentral's name for it is "bacterial SSU rRNA". It matches the Rfam family "Bacterial small subunit ribosomal RNA", at positions 355 to 825 of the family's 1533-position model. The record is from RNAcentral.
UAAGGAAUAUUGGUCAAUGGAGGCAACUCUGAACCAGCCAUGCCGCGUGCAGGAAGAAGGCCCUAUGGGUCGUAAACUGCUUUUGAACAAGAGAAAACCCCGGUACGUGUACUGGGUUGAUAGUAUUGUUAGAAUAAGCAUCGGCUAACUUCGUGCCAGCAGCCGCGGUAAGACGAAGGAUGCAAGCGUUAUCCGGAUUCAUUGGGUUUAAAGGGUGCGUAGGCGGACUGAUAAGUCAGUGGUGAAAUCUCUCGGCUUAACCGAGAAACUGCCAUUGAUACUGUUAGUCUAGAGUACAGAUGAUGUGGGCGGAAUAUGACAUGUAGUGGUGAAAUACUUAGAUAUGUCAUAGAACACCGAUUGCGAAGGCAGCUCACAAAACUGUAACUGACGCUGAGGCGCGAAAGCGUGGGGAGCAAACAGGAUUAGAUACCCGCGUAGUCCCUGAGCGGGCUGGCAAGGCGCAU